RNAcentral lists this ribosomal RNA (553 nucleotides) under uncultured bacterium. Its description in RNAcentral is "partial 16S ribosomal RNA". It matches the Rfam family "Bacterial small subunit ribosomal RNA", at positions 355 to 899 of the family's 1533-position model. The record is from RNAcentral.
UGGGGAAUUUUGGACAAUGGGCGAAAGCCUGAUCCAGCAAUGCCGCGUGUGUGAAGAAGGCCUUCGGGUUGUAAAGCACUUUUGUCCGGAAAGAAAUCCUUGGCUCUAAUACAGUCGGGGGAUGACGGUACCGGAAGAAUAAGCACCGGCUAACUACGUGCCAGCAGCCGCGGUAAUACGUAGGGUGCAAGCGUUAAUCGGAAUUACUGGGCGUAAAGCGUGCGCAGGCGGUUUGCUAAGACCGAUGUGAAAUCCCCGGGCUCAACCUGGGAACUGCAUUGGUGACUGGCAGGCUAGAGUAUGGCAGAGGGGGGUAGAAUCCCACGUGUAGCAGUGAAAUGCGUAGAGAUGUGGAGGAAUACCGAUGGCGAAGGCAGCCCCCUGGGCCAAAUACUGACGCUCAUGCACGAAAGCGUGGGGAGCAAACAGGAUUAGGAUACCCUGGUAGUCCACGCCCUAAACGAUGUCAACUAGUUGUUGGGGAUUCAUUUCCUUAGUAACGUAGCUAACGCGUGAAGUUGACCGCCUGGGGAGUACGGUCGCAAGAUUAAAA